UGAAGCUCGUACUCGAGGGAGU
Molecule: non-coding RNA, 22 nt
Filed under: Arabidopsis thaliana (thale cress)
Lineage: Eukaryota; Viridiplantae; Streptophyta; Magnoliopsida; Brassicales; Brassicaceae
Source: RNAcentral